AUUGAACGCUGGCGGCAGGCCUAACACAUGCAAGUCGAGCGGUAACACAGAGGAGCUUGCUCCUUGGGUGACGAGCGGCGGACGGGUGAGUAAUGCCUGGGGAUCUGCCCGAUAGAGGGGGAUAACUACGGGAAACUGUAGCUAAUACCGCAUAAUGUCUACGGACCAAAGUGGGGGCUCUUCGGACCUCAUGCUAUCGGAUGAACCCAGGUGGGAUUAGCUAGUUGGUGAGGUAAUGGCUCACCAAGGCGACGAUCUCUAACUGGUUUGAGAGAAUGACCAGUCACACUGGAACUGAGACACGGUCCAGACUCCUACGGAGGCAGCAGUGGGAAUAUUGCACAAUGGGCGCAAGCCUGAUGCAGCCAUGCCGCGUGUGUGAAGAAGGCCUUCGGGUUGUAAAGGCAACUUUCAGCGGGGGAGGAAGGGGCCACUAGGUUAAUACCUAAGUGGCAUUGACGUUACUCGCAGAAGAAGCACC
This 481-nucleotide ribosomal RNA is filed under the name uncultured bacterium. Its description in RNAcentral is "bacterial SSU rRNA". It matches the Rfam family "Bacterial small subunit ribosomal RNA", at positions 30 to 494 of the family's 1533-position model. The record is from RNAcentral.